This 76-nucleotide transfer RNA is filed under the name Rhinomuraena quaesita (ribbon moray). RNAcentral describes it as "tRNA-Leu (UUR)". It matches the Rfam family "tRNA". From Rfam's summary of the family: Transfer RNA (tRNA) molecules are approximately 80 nucleotides in length. Their secondary structure includes four short double-helical elements and three loops (D, anti-codon, and T loops). Further hydrogen bonds mediate the characteristic L-shaped molecular structure. tRNAs have two regions of fundamental functional importance: the anti-codon, which is responsible for specific mRNA codon recognition, and the 3' end, to which the tRNAs corresponding amino acid is attached (by aminoacyl-tRNA synthetases). tRNAs cope with the degeneracy of the genetic code in two manners: having more than one tRNA (with a specific anti-codon) for a particular amino acid; and 'wobble' base-pairing, i.e. permitting non-standard base-pairing at the 3rd anti-codon position. The record is from RNAcentral. Lineage: Eukaryota; Metazoa; Chordata; Actinopteri; Anguilliformes; Muraenidae.
GCUAAGGUGGCAGAGCCUGGUAAUUGCAAAAGGCCUAAGCCCUUUCUAUCGGAGGUUCAAAUCCUCUCCUUAAGCU